RNAcentral lists this ribosomal RNA (253 nucleotides) under uncultured bacterium. RNAcentral describes it as "partial 16S ribosomal RNA". It matches the Rfam family "Bacterial small subunit ribosomal RNA", at positions 524 to 776 of the family's 1533-position model. The record is from RNAcentral.
UACGUAGGUGGCAAGCAUUAUCCGGAUUUAUUGGGCGUAAAGGAAACGCAGGCGGUCUUUUAAGUCUGAUGUGAAAGCCUUCGGCUUAACCGGAGUAGUGCAUUGGAAACUGGGAGACUUGAGUGCAGAAGAGGAGAGUGGAACUCCAUGUGUAGCGGUGAAAUGCGUAGAUAUAUGGAAGAACACCAGUGGCGAAAGCGGCUCUCUGGUCUGUAACUGACGCUGAGGUUCGAAAGCGUGGGUAGCAAACAGG